UACGUAGGGUGCGAGCGUUAAUCGGAAUUACUGGGCGUAAAGCGUGCGCAGGCGGUUCGUUGUGUCUGCUGUGAAAUCCCCGGGCUCAACCUGGGAAUGGCAGUGGAAACUGGCGAGCUUGAGUGUGGCAGAGGGGGGUGGAAUUCCGCGUGUAGCAGUGUAAUGCGUAGAGAUGCGGAGGAACACCGAUGGCGAAGGCAACCCCCUGGGCUGACACUGACGCUCAGGCACGAAAGCGUGGGGAGCAAACAGG
RNAcentral lists this ribosomal RNA (253 nucleotides) under uncultured bacterium. Its description in RNAcentral is "partial 16S ribosomal RNA". It matches the Rfam family "Bacterial small subunit ribosomal RNA", at positions 524 to 776 of the family's 1533-position model. The record is from RNAcentral.